Molecule: ribosomal RNA, 497 nt
Filed under: uncultured bacterium
Lineage: Bacteria
Description: partial 16S ribosomal RNA
Rfam family: Bacterial small subunit ribosomal RNA
Source: RNAcentral
GAUGAACGCUGGCGGCGUGCCUAAUACAUGCAAGUCGAGCGAACAGACGAGGAGCUUGCUCCUCUUACGUUAGCGGCGGACGGGUGAGUAACACGUGGAUAACCUACCUAUAAGACUGGGAUAACUUCGGGAAACCGGAGCUAAUACCGGAUAAUAUAUUGAACCGCAUGGUUCAAUAGUGAAAGACGGUUUUGCUGUCACUUAUAGAUGGAUCCGCGCCGCAUUAGCUAGUUGGUAAGGUAACGGCUUACCAAGGCAACGAUGCGUAGCCGACCUGAGAGGGUGAUCGGCCACACUGGAACUGAGACACGGUCCAGACUCCUACGGGAGGCAGCAGUAGGGAAUCUUCCGCAAUGGGCGAAAGCUUGACGGAGCAACGCCGCGUGAGUGAUGAAGGUCUUCGGAUCGUAAAACUCUGUUAUUAGGGAAGAACAAAUGUGUAAGUAACUAUGCACGUCUUGACGGUACCUAAUCAGAAAGCCACGGCUAACUACGUG